ACGAUGAAUCUUCUAGCUUGCUAGAAGUGGAUUAGUGGCGCACGGGUGAGUAAUGCUUAGGUUAUGUGCCCUUUAGUCUGGGAUAGCCACUGGAAACGGUGAUUAAUACUGGAUACUCCCUACGGGGGAAAGUUUUUCGCUAAAGGAUCAGCCUAUGUCCUACCAGCUUGUUGGUGAGGUAAUGGCUCACCAAGGCUAUGACGGGUAUCCGGCCUGAGAGGGUGAUCGGACACACUGGAACUGAGACACGGUCCAGACUCCUACGGGAGGCAGCAGUAGGGAAUAUUGCUCAAUGGGGGAAACCCUGAAGCAGCAACGCCGCGUGGAGGAUGAAGGUUUUAGGAUUGUAAACUCCUUUUGUUAGAGAAGAUUAUGACGGUAUCUAACGAAUAAGCACCGGCUAACUCCGUGCCAGCAGCCGCGGUAAUACGGAGGGUGCAAGCGUUACUCGGAAUCACUGGGCGUAAAGAGUGCGUAGGCGGGGUAAUAAGUCAGAUGUGAAAUCCUGUAGCUUAACUACAGAACUGCAUUUGAAACUGUUACUCUGGAGUGUGGGAGAGGUAGGUGGAAUUCUUGGUGUAGGGGUAAAAUCCGUAGAGAUCAAGAGGAAUACUCAUUGCGAAGGCGACCUGCUGGAACAUUACUGACGCUGAUGCACGAAAGCGUGGGGAGCAAACAGGAUUAGAUACCCUGGUAGUCCACGCCCUAAACGAUGGAUGCUAGUUGUUGCCUUGCUUGUCAGGGCAGUAAUGCAGCUAACGCAUUAAGCAUCCCGCCUGGGGAGUACGGUCGCAAGAUUAAAACUCAAAGGAAUAGACGGGGACCCGCACAAGCGGUGGAGCAUGUGGUUUAAUUCGAAGAUACGCGAAGAACCUUACCUAGGCUUGACAUUGAUAG
RNAcentral lists this ribosomal RNA (897 nucleotides) under uncultured bacterium. RNAcentral describes it as "bacterial SSU rRNA". It matches the Rfam family "Bacterial small subunit ribosomal RNA", at positions 66 to 993 of the family's 1533-position model. The record is from RNAcentral.